RNAcentral lists this unclassified non-coding RNA (302 nucleotides) under Bartonella sp. C-583. RNAcentral describes it as "partial 16S-23S ribosomal RNA intergenic spacer". The stretch from base 53 to 126 matches the Rfam family "tRNA". The record is from RNAcentral. Lineage: Bacteria; Pseudomonadati; Pseudomonadota; Alphaproteobacteria; Hyphomicrobiales; Bartonellaceae.
UUUUUCCGUGAUAUAAGAUUAUGCUGGGGAAGGUUUUCCGGUUUAUCUCGGAGGGCUUGUAGCUCAGUUGGUUAGAGCGCGCGCUUGAUAAGCGUGAGGUCGGAGGUUCAAGUCCUCCCAGGCCCACCAUUUAUAAGUGCUGAUAGGGUGCUUUUUGUGCGAUAGCAUGAGAUUUACAUUUUAUCGAUUGCGCUGAAGCGAUUGAGCCUCGAUAUGAAAUUAUUGAUUUUUCAUUUAUCUUAAAUUAGGGGCCGUAGCUCAGCUGGGAGAGCACCUGCUUUGCAAGCAGGGGGCGUCGGUUC